This 74-nucleotide transfer RNA is filed under the name Ixodes scapularis (black-legged tick). It matches the Rfam family "tRNA". From Rfam's summary of the family: Transfer RNA (tRNA) molecules are approximately 80 nucleotides in length. Their secondary structure includes four short double-helical elements and three loops (D, anti-codon, and T loops). Lineage: Eukaryota; Metazoa; Arthropoda; Arachnida; Ixodida; Ixodidae. The record is from Rfam by way of RNAcentral.
CCCUGGUUAGCUCAGCUGGUAGAGCGCUCCACUGGAAAUGGAGAGGUCCGCGACCGAAAAACCCGGACCAGGCG